RNAcentral lists this long non-coding RNA (4349 nucleotides) under Sus scrofa (pig). RNAcentral describes it as "lncRNA (ENSSSCG00040012525.1)". The record is from RNAcentral. Lineage: Eukaryota; Metazoa; Chordata; Mammalia; Artiodactyla; Suidae.
UCAUAUAUGUACUGUAAUUAAUAUAAAAUAUUCAUUUAUGUUUAAGUGAAUAGUUCUCAUUCCAUAUCAUGACCUCAGGAACUAUCAACAAAUCUUUGGCUUAUAUACAUAAAGUCCCAAGUUAAAGAACUACUUGAGAUAGUGGUUAUAGAUUAGUUUCCAAACAGGAGUCACACUAUCUUAGUAUUUCAGUUAAUAUUCUGGCACCCAGAAUGGGCGGACCAGGUAGGUGUGCAUUUUCCCCUCUUAGCAGGUCUGAGGCGCAAUACUGGGUCUAGGAUUUAGUAAACAUACAAUAUCCCCAUGCCAAUCUUACAUGGGGAUCCUGGCUGGCACUUAAAUUCCCUAACAGUCCAUUUACUAAAACCUGGAGAUUAAAUACAUGGUCCCUUUGAACUUCAGAUUCUGAGGUACAUUUGGGGCAAAUGUAUUUAGAACUUAUUUAGGGCAAAUUUAUUUGGAAUCAUUACCUUUAAGGUUGUAUACCUUGAUUAAUUUAACAUAAUUUUCAACAGCAUUUAGAAUCUUGGAGCAUCCAGAGGCUAACUGAUUAUAAUUUAGAUGGACCUGAUAACUACAGAGGGCUUCUUAAAAGGAAAUUAACGUGAGUCACUGCUCUGUGAGAUUGAUGAAGAAAGCUGCUGGGUUCUGAAGUUUCCUUUCCUAAGAUUCGUCUGUGUGGCUUGCAGACAUGGUGACAAUUAACCAUUGAAACCUCAUGUCCCUCUGCUACCUGAGAACAGCACAUGUGCAUGUUCAAAUACUGGGGUGGCCGAGCGGGGCUUGGGGCGGUGGUUCACUUCUGCGCAGCAACCUUCUGCUGCGGUGGCGCUGAAAGGGCAGCGGGUGCCCAGGGAAUGUGGUCAGCAGGGGAGCUGCUGUUGCCCUGACUUGAGAGGUGCGUGGGGAUUCUCUUUCCGUUGGUUGCACCUGCCACAGGCUUCCUGGACCCCCGAAGAACAGAACAGCUUCUCUUUAAUUUUAAAAUACAACAGGUUGGAAAGUAUCCAUCGAGUCUAUUCUCAGACAUCUCUGAAGGUAAACUCGUGACACAUAAAGUGGUAACUACAUCAGAGUUAGAACAGUCUUCGAUGGACCUAGAUUCUUUUUUUUUUUUUUUCUCUCAUCAAAGUAUUUUAAUACCAGAAAAGAGUACACACCCAGUAUAGGGAAAAUGGGCAAAAAUAAUGAUGCAAUUCAAGUUACAAGAUAAGUAAGUUCUGGGGUGAAAUGUACAGCACAGUGACUCGAGCUAACAAUACUGCAUAUUUUAAGGUUUCUAAGAGUGGAGAUCUUACAAGUUUUCAUCAUAAGAAGAAAAAUUGUAACUAUGUGAGGUGAUGGAUAUUAACUAAAGUAACUGUGGGAGAUUCCGCUGCGGCACAUCUGGAUUGACGGAUUCUCUGCAGUGCCAGGAUGCAGGUUUGAUCCCCAGCCUGGCACAGUGGGUUAAAGGAUCUGGCAUUGCUGCAGCUGUGGAGCAGAUCACAACUGUGGCUCAGGUCUGAUCCCUGGCCCGGGAACUCCACAUGCUGUGCGGUGGCCCAAAAAGAAAAAAAAAAUGAGGUGAUCAUUUCAUAGUAUAUACACAUCUAUCAAAUUGUUCUGUGGUGUAUCUAAAUGAAUACAAUAUUGUAUGUCAAUUAUAUCUCAGUAAAAAACCAGAAUGACAAAAAUAAUUACGUAAAAAAAGGUAAAUGAUUCAGUUUGGUGUAUUUCUUUUGUGGCCAUUGCAUAAUGUACAUAUAUAACAUACAUUAUCUUUUAAGAAAGAUAAAAUUGGGCUCAUAGGAUAAAUAUCAUUUAUCCCUUUUUUUUCACUUAAAGCACUAUAAAUACAUUCCUAGGCCAUUGCAUAGUCUUGAUAUUAAAAAUAUGAUAUUUAAAUGAAUGCAUAACAUUUUACAGUAUGGGUACGCCAUAAUUUAUUUAACCCUAUUUCUAUUGUUGGGCAUUUUUAUUAUUUCCAAUAUUGUGGUCUAUUGAUUGUAGCAACAUUAUUAGUAAGAGCCAGUAUUUAUUAGUGCUACAUGUAUCGGGAACGGUUAUCCUCAUAAAAACUCUUAUAUGGUGUGGUAAAUCAGUCAGGGGUGAGACAGUUGUGGCCUCUGAACCAAAUCCAGCCUGCUGCCUGGUUUGGUAAGUAAAGUUACUGGAACACAGCCACUUCAUUGGUUGAUCUAUGGUCUAUGGCUGCUCUCUUGCUACAGUGGCAGAAUUGGUGAUUGCAACAGAGACUAUACGGUCAGCAAAGCCCCAAAUAUUUAGUAUUGGGCUCUUUAUAGAAAUAGUUUAUCAGCCCCUGGAUUGUAAAUAUUCCUUCCUUCCUCCUGCUCCACUCUCCCUGCCUCAGUGAUGUGGCACCCGGCCAUGUGACUCUCUGGCCAGUGCUUCUGAGUAGAGGUGACACAAAGUGUGCACUUGGACUUGGCUUCUUACACGUGAGGCACUGCCAGGAAAGGAACAGGCCCCUGGUAGUCCAUAGCCUGGAGCCAGUCCCAGCCUGGAAGAGUUGAACUUUAGCUGACCUACUGAUGUGUGAGUGAGAAAUAAAUGCUCAUUGAGUGUCAGUGAGUUUGGGGGGUAACUUGUUAUGCAGCAUCGUUGUGGUAACUGAUGAAUAGUGGACCCCUCCUUACUCCUGUAUCUCCUUAUAAGAACUCUCUGAGUGGGGACUACAGAUGGAGAAACUGAGAAACGGAUGGAGGUCAAAGCAAGUCAACACUAGUAAGAAAUGGGAAAAUGAGGCAACCUGGCUUCACUGUCGGUGUUUGUUCUAGUCUAUGGCCUAGUGUAUGAAAUACAUAAAUAUUUGUGCAUUUGCUUGAAUUUCUGACUAUUUCUUCAAUUUUCAGCAGGAAAAUUUCCAGGUCAAAAGGUAGACAGUCUUAAAAGGUUUAUAAUACAAAUUGUUACACCACUUUCCAAAAAGCUUGCAACAAUGAACAUUCACUGGUUUUUAUUUUUUUCUUUUUAGGGCCACAUCUGCGGCAUACGGGAGUUCUCAGGGCUAAGGGUCAAAUUGGAGCUACACCUGCUGGUCUACACCACAGCCACAGCCACACCAGAUCUGAGCUGCAUCUGUGAUCUAUGCCACAGUUGUAGCAACACUGGAUCCUUAACCCACUGAGCAAGGCCAGGAAUCAAAUCUACACCCUCAGAUACUAGUCAGGUUCUUAAUCCACUAAGCCACAAUGGGAAUUCCCAUUCACUGGUUUUUCAAAUACACUUUUUUUUUUUUUAACUUCCCCAGCAUCCAAUUUUACAGGCAAUUACAGUUUUAGUUUCAUUCACUGUUUUAGGUACAGUUUUAAGAUAGUGGCCUUGACUUUUUUUUUGCUUUUUUUUUAGGGCCACACCUGCAGCAUACGGAAGUUCUCAGGCUAGGUUUGACCCGGAGCUGUAACUUCCACCCUAUACCACAGCCACAGCAAUGCGGGAUCCAAGCCUUGUCUGUGACCUACACCACAGCUCACAGCAAUGUCGAUCCUUAACCACUGGGUGAGGGGGUUAAGGAUCUGAUGUUGCUGUGAGCUGUGGUGUAGGCCAGUGGCUACAGCUCCGAUUCGACCCCUAGCCUGGGAACCUCCAUAUGUCGAGGGUGCAGCCCUGAAAAGACAAAGAAAAAAGAAAAAGAAAAAAAAAAAAAAAGGAGCUACUGUAGUUGAAUACUUUUGGCCUGACCUAAGCACAGAGGAAUCUAAGAUGGGCUUUCAGGUUAUGUGAGUCCCAGGAAUGAGAAGCAUGGCCCAUAUCAGUCUCUCAGAGAACAGGAAGGUCACAGCAGCAUUCUUUCUUGGAGUGAGAACAUCACCAACAUCUAACAAUCCACUUUUCAGUUCAAUAGUAAAAUGUUGAUAGCUGCAGCAGUUUUUAAAUUAAGUAUUAUUUUAGAAUAGCCUAAAAAUCUGUUUGGAAUGAUAAGAUCCUAUUUUGAAACUAUUACAAAUCAUGCAAACCAGAUGGCCAUCUCUCAUUUUGGAAUUUCUCAGACAGGUGUUAAUCUAAAAUUGCCUUCGCCAUUUCUCUCUUAAAUUCCAAAGAAGUCUAAAAACAAAACAAAACGAAACCUAUCGAAAAUGCUUCAGAGACAGAUGACAGCUAUUUUGAUCAUAGGUUUUUUUUUUUUUUUUUUUUUUUUGGUGGCUGUGCUGGCUGGCACACGGAAAUUCCUGGGCCAGGGAUCGAACCCGAGCCACCACAGUGACCACGCUGGAUCCUUAACCCACUGUGCCACAAGGGAAUCUCCAGUCACAGUCAUAGCAAUUUUUACAAAGAAGGAAAGUAGCUGACAUGUAAAGAAAGUGCACUGAGACAGUUUCUAAGUGAAAAUGGUUUUGGCUGCCUGC